Molecule: non-coding RNA, 675 nt
Organism: Pelobates cultripes (western spadefoot toad)
Lineage: Eukaryota; Metazoa; Chordata; Amphibia; Anura; Pelobatidae
Source: the annotation of a GenBank genome assembly
CGGCUGUCUCUGUGUAUAACUGGCUGUCUCUCAGUAUAGCUUGCUGUCUCUCUGUAUGACUAGCUGACUCUCUGUAUAGCUGGCAGUCACUCUGUAUGGCCGGCUGUCUCUGUGUAUAACUGGCUGUCUCCCAGUAUUGCUGGCAAUCACUCUGAAUGGCCGGCUGUCUCUGUGUAUAACUGUCUGUCUCUCUGUAUGGCUGGCUGUCUCUCUGUGUGGCUGGCUGUCUCUCUGUGUGGCUGGCUGUCUCUUUGUGUGGCUGGCUGUCUCUUUGUGUGGCUGGCUGUCUCUCAGUAUAACUGGCUGUCUCUCAGUAUAGCUUGCUGUCUCUGUGUACUGUAUAGGUAGCUAUCUCUCUGUAUAGCUGGAAGUCUCACAGUAUAGUUGGCAGUCACUCUGUAUGGCCGGCUGUCUCUGUGUAUAACUGGCUGUCUAUCAGUAUGACUAACUAUAUCUCUGUAUGGCUGGCAGUCUCUCUGUAUGGCCGGCUGUCUCUCUGUAUGGCCGGCAGUCUCUCUGUAUGGCCGGCAGUCUCUCUGUAUGGCCGGCAGUCUCUCUGUAUGGCCGGCAGUCUCUCUGUGAGGCCGGCAGUCUCUCUGUGAGGCCGGCAGUCUCUCUGUGAGGCUGGCAGUCUCUCUGUAUGGCCGGCAGUCUCUCUGUGAGGCUGGCAGUCUC